CCACUGCUCCUUCUCUCCUUUUUGGAUCCCCACUUUUGAGCAUCUGCCUAGCUCAGUAGUGUCCAUUUUUAAGUUUAUGGAAUCAAAUUGAAUUCACCGAAGGAUUCUGUACUCUCCAGUGGAAAUCAUCAAGAGAAGCCUCCAAAUAGCAAACUCUUCUAAGCAUUGAACUCAAAUGCUUGAUUCGCCUGCCCAGAAAAAGGCCCUGGAAUACCUGACUCCAAUCAGCAGCCAUUUGAAAUGAGCUAUAAACUGCUCCAUGGGUAAAGUUAGGUGGCACUGCCUUAUCAUGUAAUUACUUAAAGUAAAUGCUGCAGGGCAGUGUGAGAACUCUGGACUUGGGGGUGGCCCCAGGAAUCUCUCUCUGUAUCAAGGAAGGAUUUGUUCUCAAACAAGAUAAAGGGAGUCCUGGUGCUAAUUAGCCCUGGGUUCCAGUGAAGCCUUGCUGACAGAAGCCAUGUUGAUUUAGGUAUGAAAUGGAGCAGCUGAUGAGAAGAAAUAUGCAUCAAGUACCAGAAGGAUGGGGAAGAGCAGAAUAAGUUCCAAGAAGAGGAAGUGAGAUAUUCUAAAGGCCUUUCUGCAACAUGACUUUGCCAAUUUACUAUCAAGAGGUGGAGUCUACUUCCCAUCCCCUUGAAUCUUGGAGAUCCUUAUAAUUUGCCUUGUCCAAUAGAAUGCAUCAAAGGUGACGUUGGUGACUUCUGAGACCAGACCUGAGGAGGCCUUGCAGCUUUCCCCCUCAUAGAACACUGCCCUGAAUGUGCCACGUAAGGAAGCUGGCCUCUUUUAGGAUGAGAGGUCACGUGGAGAAGAACAAGAACCUCCAGGUGACAGCCAGCACCAACUUCCAGGCACGUGAGUGAGGCUAUGUGGGACCUUGGAGACCACCUUGGACUCAAGCAGACAGCAGUGAUCUGAGUGAUCCCAGGGAAAGCAGAGGACAGACAGACUCAGCCAGCCCAUAGAACUCUCAGAAAGCAUACAUUAUUUUGCUUGAAACCACUGAAAUUUUAUGUGGUUUGAUAAAUGGCAAAGGCUAACCAAACUAGGAGUUAGACCAGAUGACUUCUCAGGUACCUUCAACUUUAUGAUUUCAAAAUCUUUGUAGAGAACGAGUCAUAAUGGUAACAGAACAAGGUCCCUGGAAGCAUCUACAUUCUACACCACUGCUUUUGCAGAGAAAAAAACCAACCGCUACACAGAGGAGAGAUCUUCCCAAGUUCGUCUCAUAAAAUGCUCACUUGUGUAGCAUAGAUUCUGAUAGGAAGGAAAGCAAAGCGGAAGGAAAGCAAAGCGGAAGCAAAGCCCAGCCCACUGCCCACACCUUCAUGAAGGAUCCACACACAUAUAAGGCUGUGCUUCUGCUCUGUGUCAGAGUCAUGAGCCCUCCUUUCUGAAGAGCAGCAAGUCCAUCACAAGAAAGCCCCAGGAAAUAGCCCACACCACUAGACCAUCAUUCCCUUCAGAAGACCCUGCAUCAUUUUACCCUUGUCUUGGGACCAAAUUUCAAAUGUAAUUAAAGAGUUCAGCUUAACUUUGGAGAACCUCGGGCUUUCUAGCACACAUUCCUGAUAUUCAUUUGGAUUUCCAACAAUGAGUUUAUCCCCUCUAUACCAUAUAUCUUUUCUAUCUGUCUUAGAAAUGAUUACUAUAGCCUGCGUGUGGGCUUUCUGCCGCUUUUAUCUGCAUCUCUGAAAUUACUCAUGAAAAUCCUUCUCCCUGAAGUGUGAGCCAUUACUAACAUGCUGCAUAGUCUGGCAUUGAUUUAGAGCCAACCUGGGAAUUUCGGGGUUGGGCUUGGAUCUAUCUGAAAGGAGUUAAAUGUUUGGGGCAGGGGUGGAGUGCUGUUCCAACAAAAUGGCAAAAGUAAACUUCAAGAUGAGUGUCAGUAGAGAGAAUUAGAAAAGACAAUUAAAUAAAUACCUGGAUGGAAAUUCUGGGUCUGGUGCCAUCAGCAGAGCACACAACACCCAUUUUACACACAUUCUAAAGACGAUUUCAAUAAGCCAUCUGAGAAGAUGAAUCGAAUCAGUUCCAAAUCUUAAGAACAGAUUGGUUGCAAUGCGGCUUCUUGCAAGCGGGCCAUUAAAUCAACUUUAAAAUAUCCAACGGUUUCUCCUGUCAUCGCCAAGCGAAAAGGUGGAGGAAAAAAAUCAGCCAAAGGAAUGACAUUCAGAUGUUGAAAGGGUGAAACCUGAGGAGCACCACCAAACCUUUGCUAAAAAACAACAAGAAGCUAGUGUUGAAAAUGAAGACACAAAGGAAAACGUUCUCCAAGGCUUAACACAAGGUCUGUGCCCACACUUGCUGACUGGCAUCGAUGAUUUGCCUAAGAAAACAUAGUAGCUGUACUCCCUCUAGCCCCUUCUCACCUGUGGUUCUAACUCCAAGUGACAAGGGAGAAGCUGGAGGGGGAAUGAUGGCCUGGACCAUUAUGGUGUACUGGAACCAGCAGUCAUCUAAACCUCUUGUUUUUUCAAAACCAUCUCUUAACAUACAACACUGUUGACACUCCCAGCACUGGAGACAGAUUUACUGGUCCAGGGGAUCCUGUGCACACCAAAGUUGAUACCACUGGUGAGAGUAAAUAUCAGCAUCCUCAAUGGCUCCAAGCAUAUAGCUUUCAGAGCUAAGAGGAUUUAGUCCCAGGAUAAAUUAUGUGAUUAUAACCAAGGUCAGAAUUAUGGGGAAGGCACCAGAAUAAGAAUAAGACUCAGAGAUCAGCCCAGUUGCACUAAUAACUGCCUGGGGAAACACGAACAUCAUUUAACUACUCUGGCCUCAGUUUCCUGUCCCUGAAAUGAGAUGGUUAAACUAGAUAACUUCUCCAAAGUCCCUUACAGAUCUACCGAGAUGGAAAAAACACCACACACCCACCGCAAACCUCCUUUGCUCUGCUGUGUAUUAGCUGUGGGAUCGUAACCAGGCUGAUUAACUCCAAGCCCUCAAUUUCCCAUCAGCAAAAUCAUGGAGUUCUGAGGAUAAAAUGAAUUAAAAUUUAAAUUUAAAAAUUAAAAUUAAAGUCAUGCCCAUGAAAGAUACAUGAAAACACAUGGACACCAACUUCUUAAUAUUUCUUUUCUUAGAACAAGAAAGAGUGACAGUGAAAUCUCAUUUAGAAAUUAAUAUCUCUUAACAGUGAUAUUAAUUUUCUCCAUUUCUUUGUAUCCUGCUAACUUUAAAUAAAAUGAAAAUUCUUUAAUGUUAAAUCGUCCUUGGGUAGUAGUAUGAGGGGGAGUGUUUUUUAUUUCUUUUCUAUACUAUUUUGUAGUCUCCAAAUAUUCUAACAUAAACUUUGAUUACUUUUUUAAAAAUUUAUUUAUUAUGCUUUACGUUCUGGGGUACAUGUGCAGAACGUGCAGGUUUGUUACACAGGUUUGUUACAAGCCACAGGUGCCAUGGUGGUUUGCUGUAUCCAUCACCCCAUCAUCUGCAUUAGGUAUUUUUUAUAAUGCUAUCCCUCCCCAAUCCCCCACCCCCUGCUAUCCCUCCCCUAGCCUCCCACCCCGCAACAGGCCCUGGUGUGUGAUGUUCCCCUCCCUGUGUCCAUGUGUUCUCAUUGUUCAACACCCACUUAUGAGUGAGAACAUGCAGUAUUUGGCUUUCUGUUCUUGUGUCAGUUUGCUUAGAAUGGGAAUGUUAUUUUUUAAAGUAUACAUUGUCUGGCAUUAUUCAGCCAAACCUAUGCACCAUUUGCUUCAUCCAUCAAACUGAAGACAUCUCUUCAGGAGCCAGGAAACUGCCAAUAUAAAAGGGAGGGUCCCUUCCCUGGGGACCUCAUAGCUUAUGAAAGAGAGAAGAUACACAGAUAAAACGAACUGAGAUACAUUUAACACCAGACAGAAUUUUCAGAAUAAAUAAACUUAGAACAAGGGAAGGACCUAAGAUUUGGGAUUUCUUUGUCACUGUAUCACCUCUAGCCUACGUUCAUUAAUUUUACAACAUGAACUAAGAGUCAACCACCUGCCAGGCACUGACACAGACUGUAGGAGUGCAAUGGUGAGUAAGAUACCCUCCCUUCCCUCAGCAAAGUCACAGGAUAGUAGCAGACACAGAGACAUAAAAAGAAAAUUAAAAAGUUACUUAGGUUUUGCAGUGCUCUUUAAUAUACCUAUUCAUUUAAUCAACAAAAUGUAUUGAGUGGUUUACUGUACUCAGGCACAUACUCAGGCACAGAGGAAUAAAUAAGAAUUGAACCAUGUCCUCAGUGAGGCUUCUAUAAGAAUUGCCAUCCUGGGCACGGUGGCUCACGCCAUAAUCCCAGCACCUUGGGAGGCUGAGGCAGGUGGAUCACGAGGUCAAGAGAUCGAGACCAUCCUGGUCAACAUGGUGAAACCCCAUCUCUACUAAAAAUACAAAAAAUUAGCUGGGCACCAUGGCGCAUGCCUGUAAUCCCAGCUACUCAGGAGGCUGAGGCAGGAGAAUUGCCUGAACCCAGGAGGCGGAGAUUGCGG
Long non-coding RNA from Callithrix jacchus (white-tufted-ear marmoset), 4454 nucleotides. RefSeq lists it as uncharacterized. The record is from RefSeq and is a predicted model, not a curated record. Lineage: Eukaryota; Metazoa; Chordata; Mammalia; Primates; Cebidae.